RNAcentral lists this ribosomal RNA (3016 nucleotides) under Sphaerospora bliccae. RNAcentral describes it as "partial 18S ribosomal RNA". The stretch from base 1327 to 3016 matches the Rfam family "Eukaryotic small subunit ribosomal RNA". The record is from RNAcentral. Lineage: Eukaryota; Metazoa; Cnidaria; Myxozoa; Bivalvulida; Sphaerosporidae.
CGGGGUAGCGUGCAUUUAUUCCCCAGACAAAACCAACACUGACUAAUAAAAUUUGAUCUAAGCGUGUGGCCGCGGUCUUGUCGCUGGCUAACGCGAGAUGUAACAGUCUCGUGUGGUAGGUGGGCAGGGCCGGCAGGCUGUGCGUGUACGGGUUAGUCAUGUAUACGGUGAUUCUGAAUAACUGAUGCUGAUCGUACAGGGCCAUUGAGUGCCCACGAUAUUUCAAUCAAAUUCCUGCCCUAUCAUAUUUGUUGGUAGGGUAGCGGCCUACCAAGGUGACGACGGGUAACGGGGAAUCAGGGUUCGAUUCCGGAGAGGGAGCCUGAGAAAUAGCUACCACGUCCAAGGAUGGCAGCAGGCGCGCAAACUAUCCAAUCCAGAUUCUGGGAGAUGGUGACGAGACAUAUUGGAACUCACCAGCAAUGCUGGUCGAGUUACCAGAUAGACUACAAUCUAAAGCAGUGCUAAAAUAAUCAACAGGAGGGCAAGUCUGGUGCCAGCAGCCGCGGUAAUACCAGCUCCUGUGGCCUAUAUGGUCGUUGUUGCGGUUAAAAAGCUCGUAGUCGAAAUACGGCGUGCUCGAAAGCUGUGUUUGAGGCGAGCCUGCCCAGGAAAAACUUUUGUGCUGUGCGCAUUGCCUAGGCGUGUUGUGUAGUUGACUUAUACUCGUAUUGGGUUCUGUGUGUACCUCGCGGUGUGUGCGUUCCCAUGCGUGAUAUUGCUCCAACACAGCCUACGGCACGCCUCACAGAUGCCUGUGAUGCAGUUACGUGGUCUGGUGUGGCGCUAGUUGGCGUGUCUGCCCUCCGGGGUGUGCGCGCUGGUGUGCGCUGUGCCAGUGCCAUUUCGCCUUGAACGCGGCAUUAGAGUGCGCUUUCUCGUCCGGCUCCAGUGACGGUAAUACGCGUGCAGUGUUUACCACUGUACUACCCUUGAGUGGGUACGCUGGACGCUUGGCGAAUUGUGCCUUGAGUAAAAUAGAGUGCUCAAAGCAGGCUAGACAUGUAACAGUGUCAUUGCCCGUAUACUCCAGCAUGGAACGAAUGUCCAAUUGCUUGAACCACCCUGCGGCCUGGUUCGUUGGUUGAGCGUGUGAGCGCUCAGUGCUGGCAUCCCUCUCAGGGUGUUUUGUGCUCCAGGUCGUAUCCGUGGGAGAGUGUACCCGGUCACACGUUGAAACGUGUGUAUUUGGUGGCACCAAAGUGUGCAUGUGUUGCUGCGAUUUCGGGUGUCCCGUAUGUGCCAAUGAGUGUGUACGGGACGAAUUAAACCUGUGCGUUUGUGACCGGCUUUGUGUGUGUAGAUGUGCCUUGGUGCGCGCACUUUCACCUGUGUGAGUGUUAACAUAUUGUGGACGAUACGCUUGGCUGUCUUUUCACUGCUCAUUCGAUUUGCAGCGUGUUCAAUGGGCCCCGGAUAACAUGUGGUCUGUUUACUACACCGUCGCCUCACUCCCGCUGGCCUUUCUGUGCUGCGGGUUACGUGCAGGGGGUGGCAGAUUUCACCCGGGAAUAAACCUUGGAUGCGUGUGACUGUAUCAGUCUCGUCCUCUGUCGUCUAUAGAUGCACUUGUGCCACUUACCCUCGUUGGAAACGGCUUGUGUUAAGUGUUAGUGGUGGGUGCGCAAAUAUUAUGAGCCAUGCACAAAAAAAGUCUGCAAUUACUACCCCGGGAGUCAUGCCUCUUCCACGUAUGGGUAUCGGUUAACAGAAACAUUUGGGGGCAUUAGUACUUGGCCGCGAGAGGUGAAAUUCUAAGACCGGUCAAAGACUAACAACUGCGAAAGCAUUUGUCAAGAGUGUUUUCAUUGAUCAAGAACGUUGGUUUGGGGAUCGAAGAUGAUCAGAUACCGUCGUAGUCCAAACUGUAAACUAUGCCAACCAGGGCUCAGGCCGGAUCGUUUAUAUUGAAAUUGCUUCAUAUUACUGAUCCAGGUUGGGCCCCCCGGGAAACCUAAAGUUUUUGGGUUCCGGGGGGAGUAUGGUUGCAAGGCUGAAACUUAAAGGAAUUGACGGAAGGGCACCACCAGGAGUGGAGCCUGCGGCCUAAUUUGACUCAACACGGGGAAUCUCACCAGGUCCGGACAUCGGAAGGAUUGACAGACUGAUAGAUCUUUCAUGAUUCCGUGAAUGGUGGUGCAUGGCCGUUCUUGGUUGGUGGAGUGAUUUGUCUGGUUUAUUCCGUGAACGAGCGCAACCACAGCCUCUAUUUUGGCCGUACCAAGUGUCCGUGUUGAUGUGUGCCUUAACGGGUGUGUGUCGACGCGCGCACGGUGCUGGUGAAAGCCAGUGCCGUGUGUGUAUGCCGUUGACCGAGCUGGCGCGCAUAGUCGCCUUGUGUUGUUGCACGUGUGUGUAUGCUCAGCAGUAGCAACUGUGUUUUGUUCUGGGAUCACAGCUGAUGCGCAUUCAACGGUAGUGUGUCUCGCUGACAAUGUUGCUGGCAGCGAGUGGCUAGAUGGCGUUUGUGAUGAUACGUCAGACUGGCGCUGUACAGUUGUCAGAGUGUAGGCUGCUACCGGUGUGUUGGCUGCCUAGGCAAAGUGUUUUGGCAAUCACGCUGUUGAGUAUGUGUGCUGUGUGGUGUCGCAAGGUGAUGCGCUGGUAUCUUAAUCGGUCAAUGGGUGUUGGUGCGCCUUCAUAGAGGGACUACCGGUGGCAAACCGGGGGAAGUGUGGCAAUAGCAGGUCAGUGAUGCCCUUAGAUGUUCUGGGCUGCACGCGCGCUACAAUGGCGACGUCAAUGAGUGUGUUUUCUGCAUCGAAAGGUGUGGGUAAUCUUUGAAUCGUCGCCGUGCUGGGGAUUGAGCCUUGAAAUUAUUGCUCAUGAACCUGGAAUUCCUCGUAAGUACGAGUCACCAGCUCGUGCUGAAUACGUCUCUGCCCUUUGUACACACCGCCCGUCGCUACUACCGAUUGAAUGAUUUGGUGAGGGCAUGGGAUUGAUCGGUCUCGUCAUCUCUUUAUGGGACGUGUAGACUGGUCGAGAGCCUGUCCAAGCUGCAUCAGUCAGAGAA